GGGGGUGUAGCUCAGCUGGGAGAGCGCCACGUUCGCAACGUGGAAGUCGUGGGUUCGAAUCCCAUCAUCUCCACCA
This 76-nucleotide transfer RNA is filed under the name Xiamenia xianingshaonis. RNAcentral's name for it is "Eggerthellaceae bacterium zg-886 tRNA-Ala". It matches the Rfam family "tRNA". Rfam says of the family: Transfer RNA (tRNA) molecules are approximately 80 nucleotides in length. Their secondary structure includes four short double-helical elements and three loops (D, anti-codon, and T loops). RNAcentral also lists the same sequence under 1 other name. Lineage: Bacteria; Bacillati; Actinomycetota; Coriobacteriia; Eggerthellales; Eggerthellaceae. The record is from RNAcentral.